Camelina sativa (false flax) is the source of this 1711-nucleotide non-coding RNA. The record is from RefSeq and is a predicted model, not a curated record. NCBI's taxonomy places the organism in Eukaryota, Viridiplantae, Streptophyta, Magnoliopsida, Brassicales, Brassicaceae.
CUUUGCUAUUCAUACGACAGAACCAUCCAGAGCGGCAAACACUCUCCUCCCCACCACCGCCUCUUCUCGGCAAAAGUUGAUGUCGAAGCUCUUUCCUUUUCCGAAACCCUAGAUUCGAUCUCGCAACUCCGGCCAAAAUUAGAUGUUUCCGACUAAAAACUUGGGCCAAAAAAAACAAGAUUCAUAAUUCAAUUAAUCACCUCGACUCUUCUCUCUCGCGUUCAAACUCGCUCUUCCUCGACUCAACUCUCUCUCUCUUCUCAACCGUCACCACCUCCCUGAGUCAACUCGUUUGGAUCAGCAGCUCUUUAUCUUUCCCAAAUCAUUAGUGUAAACUACUAAUCGAGUUUGGUAAUAAUAAUCUUGCUUAGAGCCAUGUGCUUCUUUUCCUAGAGUGCAUCCUGGGAAUUUAGUGCAUAGAUUCUAUGGAGAGUCUAGCCGCCCAGGUCAGCCAAGAAAACGAGAUACCUCUGAACGCUGGAUUACGCAAUCUUGAUAAGAAGCUUGAAGCAGAAUCUAUAAGCAUCUCCUGUCAUCAUGUUUGGUGGUUCUUACUUAUGGUGGAAUGCUUGCAGCGUGGUUCGUCAGGCUACAGUAUCCGCAUAUUGCAAUUGGCGCAUUAGCAUCCUCUGCUCCAGUUCCGCAGUUUGAUAAGACUGUUCCGUCUUCAAGCUUCUACGACACCGUUUCUCAGGAUUUCGAGGUCUGUAUAUUUCUUGUUUAAAUCAAAGAGUUGUGAUUGCGGUAAAGAUGCUUGUGAGAGAUAAUAAGCUAUGUAUUCUUGUGCCAUUAUAGUAUCUUUUGCAUUCAUAUAUAGUUUUAUGGGUUUUUCGAGUGAAACUUUGUGAAGAAGGGAUUGAUCACACCAAUUUUUGCAAGAUCGAUCUAGGACAUUGCACCGACCCGAUAUUGGUAGGAUGUGCGGGGCCUCAUCAUAUGUCUACCAGUUUUACACCGCUCUCAAGGUUGAAAGGAAGAUCAUACUCCCAAAGCAAGAUAUCACAUCCAUUCGUUCAAGGGACAACAUCAUCUUCAUUCCUAGUGAGGAGUCGCUCUACAACGCAUGUACCGACCCACCCAUCGUAGCCCGUUACAAAGCACAACGACAAAAGGAGAAAGCAACCGCUAAUCCAUCUCAUCAAGACACAUCUCAAACGGGUCCAUCUCAUGAGGGUGAGCCUCCUCGAGAUCCUUCCGCCUGUGGAAAUGAACGUUUUUGUUUCCAACCCUUUGAGGGUUCAUUCACUUCAAACGCUCUUCGCCUGGCGCAUAAACAUAACAAGCUGCUUCUACAAUGGAACAAGGUGCUAGAUGAAACCAUCAAGGAAUACAAGAAGGAGGUUGAGAGCUUGAGAGAAAGGGUGAAGCGACUGGAGGAGCGAAUUCCAGAAGGCUAGUCCCUCCAAAGCCAGAUCCAAGAAAACAACACACACAAAGGAAGGGAAAAUGAGAAAGCUUUUUAACACUUGUGACGGUUAUAAUUAUUGUGACCAGUAAUGGGAGUCCAUGCAUGGGGAGGAUGUGACUAGGAACUAAUUGUUUUUGUUUACUUGAAGAGAGUUAAGUUAUAGUCUAGUGUCGAGCAUGCCCAUGUAGUAGUAGGUGGAGUGAUUAUGUAGUAGUUGGUAAAAAUCAGAGAGUGGUUCCUUAACAACUACUGUACACUCAACUAGACGCACACUAAUACUAGUUCCUUGAAUCUUCCAUUGUU